Molecule: long non-coding RNA, 669 nt
Filed under: Sarcophilus harrisii (Tasmanian devil)
Lineage: Eukaryota; Metazoa; Chordata; Mammalia; Dasyuromorphia; Dasyuridae
Description: lncRNA (ENSSHAG00000025737.1)
Source: RNAcentral
GGGCGGGGCUGACUCCGUACUUCUCUUGGCUUUUUUUCUGCUUUACUUGAGCCCCGCCUAUCGGGGAAAGCCCUGGGCGGAGUCAGAUUUCUCCCUGAGGAUGUUUGACGUGGCGUAGGAGUAGAUAGAAAGGUGUCCACUAACCCCACCCCCCAAAAAAAAAAAAAAAAGGGGAAUCGAAUCAAGUUCUAGGCAACUUUUUAAACCAAAAGUUUCAGAGAAGAUUUCUACCUGCAUUGGUGGAAGGAGCGCCUCCUACGGGAGUUUCCUAUAUCAAUGAGAUCCUGGGUCCAGUCUCUGACCUCGAUUAAUGCAGGAGGUGGGGCCUCAGAGUCUAUCCAAGUGCAUCCUCCUCAUUUUACAGAUGGGGAAACAGAUUGAGCGAGGUUGUGAUUUAUCACGCAGGUGAAGGAGACAGAACGAUCCUGUGAAAUUUGAAAGGUUGGAGGAGCCACACUGGAUUUUGUGUGAGAAGACUUUAUGACAAAGACCGUUGUGGCUACCUUAGCCAAGCUACAAAAAAUACCAACACAACUCUGAGAAGUGAACUUUGGAAGUCUGUCCAAAUCAACCUGGCAGCUGAGAAAAGAAGAGAGGAGAGAACAUGGAGGUAACUAAUGUAGACGGCUUUCUUUAGAAGUUUAACCAAGAAAUGGAGGAACUUUUAAG